UCCUCGAUUCCAAGAUUCUUUAUUCUUGUUUACUUUCCGAGAACUUUCCCAAGUAAAAAACGAAUGAGUCUGUUUGGCUUUUUCUCUUUAACUUUCGCUUUAAAGUUUAAAGCUUUAAUUGGCAUAUCAUAAAUGGAUAAUGGCCUUUUAACUAGUAUAUUUGCUCUCAUAUCCUCAACUCUCUUGAACUCUUGAAUUCUGCGUAUUUUAUUGUUUAAAAAUUUUCAAAACCUGAAUUGGGUUUUCUAAUUCUAGCCAGAAAUGCCACCUUCAUACUUCCCUCUUAGGUGGG
This 292-nucleotide unclassified non-coding RNA is filed under the name Hevea brasiliensis (rubber tree). The record is from RNAcentral. Lineage: Eukaryota; Viridiplantae; Streptophyta; Magnoliopsida; Malpighiales; Euphorbiaceae.